UUAUAUAAAAAGUAAACAUGCUUUUUGGCAUAUUUUUGGCCAAAAGCCAAGAAACUUAUUUUUUGGCACCAAAAUUCAAAAAACAAUAUUUAUGUUUGAAAUAAUCAUUUCUAUAAUUAUUGUCAUAAUUUAAACUUAUCAUUAUGAAUUUGUAAUACAAAUCGAUGAAAUGCAAGAUGAAUCGGAACUUAAUUACUGUUCAUCCACAUAUUCUUCCUCAACUUGUAUUGCAAAUGUUUUUCCGGAAAAAAUAAGUUACGAAAAGCAAAUGCAAUCAUCAUAUUGCAGCUUUCGAGGUAAAUUUUCGGAUCCAAAAUAUGCUUUAUUCAAAGAUCCAGAAAUGAUCCCUGCAGACAAAACUUGUGAAAAAUGUUCAAGUUCAAUUGAACCGCUUUGUCAUGUAAAACUUGAAUCAAUCGAUAAAUUAAAAGAAAGCACAAAGCAGUUACUGUGUUUGUUAGAAGAAAUACAAACCAAAACUCACGGAAAAAAUAUUCCGGAUGAGAAUCUUAAAAUCACUAAUUAUAUCAAGUCACUACCUCAAGACGACGAUGUCAAUAGCGAAGGGUUCAGUACAAUAGGUCUUAAAACAUUGGAAGCCAAUGCGAAAAACUUGGAUGCCAUUUACAUUGAGGAUGACCACGAUAGUUGUUCAGUAUAUAAUCGACUAAUAAGGAAGUGCAUUUGCCUAAACCACCCGGACUAUAACGAUUUCGUUAUACAUUUCAAUGAAGACUCCAAAUAUACUACCAGUAACCUGGGUGAGAUUAUAAAGAACAUGCGUAUUUUGAAGAAGUUUCUCUACAUGGGGGGUAAUUAUACAAGGAAUGCACUGAUGUUUUUGAAUGAAGGUAUGAUGGAGUCCCCACAUAGCGAGCGUGUGGAAAUAACGCAGGCGUGCUCGAACGCAGACAUCUGCAAUUUAUUCGACGAUCACUCGAUCGUCAUAGUUUGCAUAUCGUGGCCGUGCAUUAACAAAUACUACGGGGACUAUGUGACUCAGGCUCUAGCAGCAGGUUUUUUAUAUAAACUUGUCCAGCUAGAAGAAGGGAGAAGAUACUUAAAUUACAGUUCGAAGAUUACUAACGAUAUAAAAAAGGUUUUGAGAAAAAACAGUACCUCGAUUGAGGUAGAUACGAUAGAGUCUUUAAAUACAAUAUUAAACUUACUUAAGCCAGUAUUUGUGAAAAACUUGGCUGUUACUUACUUCAGUAAAGCGAUGUACGAAGGUGUUGGGAAGAGAACUAUAUGCGACUUGGCACAACAUCGCAAAUACAUGACAUUUGAAGAAGUCCUGAUGCACUUAGAAAUACUAGACACAUUUAGCCAAUACGAUAGCAGUCAAACAGAGUUAACUUUAUAUUUGCCGCUUUUAUUAGUACUUUUAAAACAUUUGAUAAUGGAAUACGAUAAUAGUGAAAUAAAUACAAUAGUUACGAGUAUACUCAACAGUAUUGUUUCUAAAAACGUAAAUGAAAAAGAAUCAGAAAUAUCAAAUACUGCGAAAACAGUGAUAUUAGUUGAAACAACCACGCAGGCCAGUAAAAAAAUGAAAAGUGAAGAAAUUCAAUUUCCUCCGAAGAAAGCAAACAAGCAACAGACACCAAAAAAACUUAAUAAAAGCAAAACUGGUUUAGGGGUUUCGCCUAACAAAUUUAGUCAACUUUCAAAGCGGAAAGUUUCAGAAUGGGAACCUGCCAAUGUACGAGUACUCAACAGAUCAAAAAAAUUUAACAAUGCUACAUAAGGAGCGUAGGUAGAUAUGGGUAUACCUAACGAUUAUUCCUUUAUUAAAAUAUGCGUAGGUAGUUAGAUCAUACAAAGAAAUAAAUAAUUUUUGUGUCCAUGGA
Molecule: RNA transcript, 1850 nt
Organism: Maniola jurtina (meadow brown)
Lineage: Eukaryota; Metazoa; Arthropoda; Insecta; Lepidoptera; Nymphalidae
Exons: 10
Source: RefSeq, a predicted model, not a curated record